RNAcentral lists this small nuclear RNA (168 nucleotides) under Dermacentor silvarum. RNAcentral describes it as "U1 spliceosomal RNA". It matches the Rfam family "U1 spliceosomal RNA". From Rfam's summary of the family: U1 is a small nuclear RNA (snRNA) component of the spliceosome (involved in pre-mRNA splicing). The record is from RNAcentral. Lineage: Eukaryota; Metazoa; Arthropoda; Arachnida; Ixodida; Ixodidae.
AUACUUACCUUAGUGACGGGCUUUCUGGUGAUAAUGCAGCCAGGCCGGGGCCCCGUGCCGAGGCCUGCCAUUGCACUCCGGUUGGCUGAAGCUACGCCACUUUCCCAAACUGGGAUAGCUGGGACAUUCAACUUUUGGUAGUGGGGCAUGGCGUGCGCGCCAGCCCCC